UACAGAGGUCUCAACCGUUGUUCGGAUUCAUUGGGCGUAAAGGGUGCGUAGGCGGCGGGGCAAGUCAGGUGUGAAAUCUCGGGGCUCAACCCCGAAACUGCACUUGAUACUGCCUUGCUCGAGUACUGGAGAGGAGACUGGAAUUUACGGUGUAGCAGUGAAAUGCGUAGAUAUCGUAAGGAAGACCAGUGGCGAAGGCGACUCGCUGGACUGAUACUGACGCUGAGGUGCGAAAGCGUGGGGAGCAAACAGG
Molecule: ribosomal RNA, 253 nt
Filed under: uncultured bacterium
Lineage: Bacteria
Description: partial 16S ribosomal RNA
Rfam family: Bacterial small subunit ribosomal RNA
Source: RNAcentral